This 253-nucleotide ribosomal RNA is filed under the name uncultured bacterium. RNAcentral describes it as "partial 16S ribosomal RNA". It matches the Rfam family "Bacterial small subunit ribosomal RNA", at positions 524 to 776 of the family's 1533-position model. The record is from RNAcentral.
UACAGAGGGGGCAAGCGUUAUUCGGAAUUAUUGGGCGUAAAGGGCGCGUAGGCGGCCUGGCAAGUGGAAGGUGAAAUCCCUCGGCUUAACCGAGGAACUGCCCUCCAAACUGCUUGGCUUGAGUCCGGGAGAGGUGAGUGGAAUUCCCAGUGUAGCGGUGAAAUGCGUAGAUAUUGGGAGGAACACCAGUGGCGAAGGCGGCUCACUGGACCGGUACUGACGCUGAGGCGCGAAAGCGUGGGGAGCAAACGGG